Molecule: ribosomal RNA, 457 nt
Filed under: uncultured bacterium
Lineage: Bacteria
Description: bacterial SSU rRNA
Rfam family: Bacterial small subunit ribosomal RNA
Source: RNAcentral
UACGGAAGGCAGCAGUGGGGAAUAUUGCACAAUGGGCGCAAGCCUGAUGCAGCCAUGCCGCGUGUAUGAAGAAGGCCUUCGGGUUGUAAAGUACUUUCAGUCGUGAGGAAGGUGUUAAGGUUAAUAACCUUAGCAAUUGACGUUAGCGACAGAAGAAGCACCGGCUAACUCCGUGCCAGCAGCCGCGGUAAUACGGAGGGUGCGAGCGUUAAUCGGAAUUACUGGGCAUAAAGGGCACGCAGGCGGUUAAUUAAGUUGGAUGUGAAAUCCCCGGGCUUAACCUGGGAAUGGCAUUCAAGACUGGUUAGCUAGAGUCUUGUAGAGGGGGUUAGAAUUCCAUGUGUAGCGGUGAAAUGCGUAGAGAUGUGGAGGAAUACCGGUGGCGAAGGCGGGCCCCUGGGACAAAGACUGACGCUCAUGUGCGAAAGCGUGGGGAGCAAACAGGGAUUAGGAUACC